This is a small nucleolar RNA of Scatophagus argus, 92 nucleotides long. RefSeq annotates it as small nucleolar SNORD12/SNORD106. The transcript has a single exon. The record is from RefSeq and is a predicted model, not a curated record. NCBI's taxonomy places the organism in Eukaryota, Metazoa, Chordata, Actinopteri, Scatophagidae.
UUUGUGGUUAAUGAUGCACACUCUUUCCCCGACUUAUCGACAGUGGUGAUAACAGAUUUGUAAAAUAAGCCAAUUACUUCUGAAACCACAAG